This 87-nucleotide ribosomal RNA is filed under the name Ligularia duciformis. RNAcentral describes it as "partial 5.8S ribosomal RNA". It matches the Rfam family "5.8S ribosomal RNA", at positions 73 to 154 of the family's 154-position model. From Rfam's summary of the family: 5.8S ribosomal RNA (5.8S rRNA) is a component of the large subunit of the eukaryotic ribosome. It is transcribed by RNA polymerase I as part of the 45S precursor that also contains 18S and 28S rRNA. Functionally, it is thought that 5.8S rRNA may be involved in ribosome translocation. Lineage: Eukaryota; Viridiplantae; Streptophyta; Magnoliopsida; Asterales; Asteraceae. The record is from RNAcentral.
UGCAGAAUCCCGUGAACCAUCGAGUUUUUGAACGCAAGUUGCGCCCGAAGCCUUUUGGCCGAGGGCACGUCUGCCUGGGCGUCACAC